AACGAACGCUGGCGGCAUGCCUAACACAUGCAAGUCGAACGAAGUCUUCGGACUUAGUGGCGCACGGGUGCGUAACGCGUGGGAAUCUGCCCUUGUGUACGGAAUAACUCAGAGAAAUUUGUGCUAAUACCGUAUAAUGUCUUCGGACCAAAGAUUUAUCGCCCAAGGAUGGGCCCGCGUAAGAUUAGCUAGUUGGUGAGGUAAAAGCCUACCAAGGCGACGAUCUUUAGCUGGUCUGAGAGGGUGAUCAGCCACACUGGAACUGAGAAACGGCCCAGACUCCGAAGGGAGGCAGCAGUAGGGAAUCUUCCGCAAUGGGCGAAAGCCUGACGGAGCAACGCCGCGUGAGUGAUGAAGGUCUUCGGAUCGUAAAACUCUGUUAUUAGGGAAGAACAAAUGUGUAAGUAACUAUGCACGUCUUGACGGUACCUAAUCAGAAAGCCACGGCUAACUACGUG
Molecule: ribosomal RNA, 458 nt
Filed under: uncultured bacterium
Lineage: Bacteria
Description: partial 16S ribosomal RNA
Rfam family: Bacterial small subunit ribosomal RNA
Source: RNAcentral